Molecule: long non-coding RNA, 653 nt
Filed under: Malus domestica (apple)
Lineage: Eukaryota; Viridiplantae; Streptophyta; Magnoliopsida; Rosales; Rosaceae
Description: long non-coding RNA (MDOM_LNC003413)
Source: RNAcentral
UCAAAACCAUAUUGCCUUCCUUAGCAAGCUUUCCUUUCAAAGCCACAUCAGUCUUCUGCACCUUAAGUGAUCUCUUGUGCUUCAAUUUUGACUUCUUUCUCAACCGACCAACUGACAGAUCACUCUCCUCCUUUUCUACCUUCUUAGGUCUCCCACGCUUACGUUUCAAAUUCUUCAUCUUCAGUAGCCCAGCACCCGAACCAUGACUUUCUUCCUUUCUCAACCAACCAACUGACAGAUCACUCUCUUCCCUUUCUACCUUCUUAGGUCUCCCACGCUUGCGUUUCAAAUUCUUCAUCUUCUGUUGCCCAGCACCCGAACCAUCACUUUCUUCCUUUCUCAACUGACCAACUGACAGAUCACUCUGUUCCUUUUCUACCUUCUUAGGUCUCCCACGCUUGCGUUUCAAAAUCUUCAUCUUAUGUAGCCCAGCACCCGAACCAUCACUUUCUUCCUUUCUCAACUGACCAACUGACAGAUCACUUUGUUCCUUUUCUACCUUCUUAGGUCUCCCACGCUUGCGUUUGAAAUUCUUCAUCUUAUGUGGCCCAGCACCUGAACCAUCACUUUUUUCCUUUUCAACCUUGAGUGGGCUCCCUCUCUUGCCUUUCAACUUCUUUGUAAACCGUUCAACCAACUGAUCACCCCCUUUG